Molecule: ribosomal RNA, 517 nt
Filed under: Polypedates leucomystax (Java whipping frog)
Lineage: Eukaryota; Metazoa; Chordata; Amphibia; Anura; Rhacophoridae
Description: partial 16S ribosomal RNA
Rfam family: Bacterial large subunit ribosomal RNA
Source: RNAcentral
CCUGCCCAGUGAAUUUUUAACGGCCGCGGUAUCCUAACCGCGCGAAGGUAGCAUAAUCACUUGUUCUUUAAAUGGGGACUCGUAUCAACGGCAUCACGAGGGUUUUACUGUCUCCUCUUUUUGAUCAGUGAAAUUGAUCUUCCCGUGAAGAAGCGGGAAUAAUCCUAUAAGACGAGAAGACCCCAUGGAGCUUAAAACCAAAUAACAACUUAACCACUUACCCCACUAGAAAUUUAAGCCCUGUUAUAAGGUUUUUGGUUGGGGUGACCGCGGAGUAAAGAACAUCCUCCACGACGGAAAGAACACACUCUUUAUUUAAGAACCACAAUUCUAGAAAUUAGUAUACUAACGUUUACUGACCCGAUAAUCGAUCAACGGACCAAGUUACCCUGGGGAUAACAGCGCAAUCUACUUCAAGAGCUCAUAUCGACAAGUAGGCUUACGACCUCGAUGUUGGAUCAGGGUAUCCCGGUGGUGCAGCCGCUACCGAAGGUUCGUUUGUUCAACGAUUAAAACC